This 253-nucleotide ribosomal RNA is filed under the name uncultured bacterium. Its description in RNAcentral is "partial 16S ribosomal RNA". It matches the Rfam family "Bacterial small subunit ribosomal RNA", at positions 524 to 776 of the family's 1533-position model. The record is from RNAcentral.
UACGGAGGGUGCGAGCGUUAAUCGGAAUUACUGGGCGUAAAGCGUGCGUAGGCGGUUCGUUAAGUCAGAUGUGAAAGCCCUGGGCUCAACCUGGGAACGGCAUUUGAAACUGGCGGACUAGAGUUUAGUAGAGGGGAGUGGAAUUUCAGGUGUAGCGGUGAAAUGCGUAGAUAUCUGAAGGAACACCAGUGGCGAAGGCGACUCCCUGGACUAGAACUGACGCUGAGGUACGAAAGCGUGGGUAGCAAACAGG